Molecule: ribosomal RNA, 460 nt
Filed under: uncultured bacterium
Lineage: Bacteria
Description: partial 16S ribosomal RNA
Rfam family: Bacterial small subunit ribosomal RNA
Source: RNAcentral
CCUACGGGAGGCAGCAGUGAGGAAUAUUGGUCAAUGGACGAGAGUCUGAACCAGCCAAGUAGCGUGAAGGAUGACUGCCCUACGGGUUGUAAACUUCUUUUAUAUGGGAAUAAAAUGUUCCACGUGUGGGAGUUUGUAUGUACCAUAUGAAUAAGGAUCGGCUAACUCCGUGCCAGCAGCCGCGGUAAUACGGAGGAUCCGAGCGUUAUCCGGAUUUAUUGGGUUUAAAGGGAGCGUAGGUGGAUUGUUAAGUCAGUUGUGAAAGUUUGCGGCUCAACCGUAAAAUUGCAGUUGAAACUGGCAGUCUUGAGUACAGUAGAGGUGGGCGGAAUUCGUGGUGUAGCGGUGAAAUGCUUAGAUAUCACGAAGAACUCCGAUUGCGAAGGCAGCUCACUGGACUGCAACUGACACUGAGGCUCGAAAGUGUGGGUAUCAAACAGGAUUAGAUACCCCAGUAGUC